UGGCGGCGUGCCUAAUACAUGCAAGUCGAACGAACUCUGGUAUUGAUUGGUGCUUGCAUCAUGAUUUACAUUUGAGUGAGUGGCGAACUGGUGAGUAACACGUGGGAAACCUGCCCAGAAGCGGGGGAUAACACCUGGAAACAGAUGCUAAUACCGCAUAACAACUUGGACCGCAUGGUCCGAGCUUGAAAGAUGGCUUCGGCUAUCACUUUUGGAUGGUCCCGCGGCGUAUUAGCUAGAUGGUGGGGUAACGGCUCACCAUGGCAAUGAUACGUAGCCGACCUGAGAGGGUAAUCGGCCACAUUGGGACUGAGACACGGCCCAAACUCCUACGGGAGGCAGCAGUAGGGAAUCUUCCACAAUGGACGAAAGUCUGAUGGAGCAACGCCGCGUGAGUGAAGAAGGGUUUCGGCUCGUAAAACUCUGUUGUUAAAGAAGAACAUAUCUGAGAGUAACUGUUCAGGUAUUGACGGUAUUUAACCAGAAAGCCACGGCUAACUACGUGCCAGCAGCCGCGGUAAUACGUAGGUGGCAAGCGUUGUCCGGAUUUAUUGGGCGUAAAGCGAGCGCAGGCGGUUUUUUAAGUCUGAUGUGAAAGCCUUCGGCUCAACCGAAGAAGUGCAUCGGAAACUGGGAAACUUGAGUGCAGAAGAGGACAGUGGAACUCCAUGUGUAGCGGUGAAAUGCGUAGAUAUAUGGAAGAACACCAGUGGCGAAGGCGGCUGUCUGGUCUGUAACUGACGCUGAGGCUCGAAAGUAUGGGUAGCAAACAGGAUUAGAUACCCUGGUAGUCCAUACCGUAAACGAUGAAUGCUAAGUGUUGGAGGGUUUCCGCCCUUCAGUGCUGCAGCUAACGCAUUAAGCAUUCCGCCUGGGGAGUACGGCCGCAAGGCUGAAACUCAAAGGAAUUGACGGGGGCCCGCACAAGCGGUGGAGCAUGUGGUUUAAUUCGAAGCUACGCGAAGAACCUUACCAGGUCUUGACAUACUAUGCAAAUCUAAGAGAUUAGACGUUCCCUUCGGGGACAUGGAUACAGGUGGUGCAUGGUUGUCGUCAGCUCGUGUCGUGAGAUGUUGGGUUAAGUCCCGCAACGAGCGCAACCCUUAUUAUCAGUUGCCAGCAUUAAGUUGGGCACUCUGGUGAGACUGCCGGUGACAAACCGGAGGAAGGUGGGGAUGACGUCAAAUCAUCAUGCCCCUUAUGACCUGGGCUACACACGUGCUACAAUGGAUGGUACAACGAGUUGCGAACUCGCGAGAGUAAGCUAAUCUCUUAAAGCCAUUCUCAGUUCGGAUUGUAGGCUGCAACUCGCCUACAUGAAGUCGGAAUCGCUAGUAAUCGCGGAUCAGCAUGCCGCGGUGAAUACGUUCCCGGGCCUUGUACACACCGCCCGUCACACCAUGAGAGUUUGUAACACCCAAAGUCGGUGGGGUAACCUUUUAGGAACCAGCCGCCUAAGGUGGGACAGAUGAUUAGGGUGAAGUCGUAA
This 1489-nucleotide ribosomal RNA is filed under the name Lactiplantibacillus plantarum subsp. plantarum. Its description in RNAcentral is "Lactobacillus plantarum subsp. plantarum partial 16S ribosomal RNA". It matches the Rfam family "Bacterial small subunit ribosomal RNA". The record is from RNAcentral. Lineage: Bacteria; Bacillati; Bacillota; Bacilli; Lactobacillales; Lactobacillaceae.